AACCUUUGCUGUCUUGGGACGGAUCACCGCUGCAAGAGGGGAAGUUGCUACUGUGAUGAAUUCUGCCAUGUGGCACCAGACUGCCACCCAGACCACAGUGUCCUCUGCAACCCUGGUAACUCACAUACAGGCCCGAUUCCACCUACAGCAAAGCUGGAUGCGAUGGCUGGCAGAGGCAAACCCUUUGCCUGCACUUCAGGCCAAAGCCGGGAUGUGGCCUAGAUGGUUCCUAAGCUUCUCAGAUGACCAAGAUGGUGCUGCAGAUGGUGCUGAGGAUGGAGAACCCACCAAGCCCCGCUAGGAGCCACCUAGACUGGAUGCAGAGCAUGUUUUAUUUGCUUCCAAGAAGGAAGGCAAGAUUUCCUGGGUCCGUGAUGAUGGAAGGCUGACAACUCUUUUAUGGAGUUUGAGCUUGCUCCCAGCAGGGAAGACAAGUUCGAGUUUUUUUCCUGCUUCAAGGAUGGUAGAGAGCAGUCUUCAGCCUGAGACCCAUCCCUAGGUGAAAAUGGAGGUUUCCUCCUCCUGUGGCUGAGUGUGGCUUCCCCGGAAGACCUCACUGACCCCAGAGUGGCAGAAAGGCUGAUGCAGCAGCUCCACCGGGAACUCCACGCCCACGCGCCUCACUUCCAGGUCUCCUUACUGCGUGUCAGGAGAGGCUAACGGACAUCAGCUGCAGCCAGGCAUGUCCCGUAUGCCAAAAGA
RNAcentral lists this unclassified non-coding RNA (702 nucleotides) under Homo sapiens (human). RNAcentral describes it as "MUC20 overlapping transcript (ENSG00000281915.2)". The record is from RNAcentral. Lineage: Eukaryota; Metazoa; Chordata; Mammalia; Primates; Hominidae.